RNAcentral lists this transfer RNA (74 nucleotides) under Lentisphaerae bacterium ADurb.Bin082. Its description in RNAcentral is "tRNA-Gly". It matches the Rfam family "tRNA". Rfam says of the family: Transfer RNA (tRNA) molecules are approximately 80 nucleotides in length. Their secondary structure includes four short double-helical elements and three loops (D, anti-codon, and T loops). Lineage: Bacteria; Pseudomonadati; Lentisphaerota. The record is from RNAcentral.
GCGGGCGUAGCUCAGUUGGUAGAGCGCCACCUUGCCAAGGUGGCUGUCGACGGUUCGAGUCCGUUCGCCCGCUC